GUUACUUCGGUACAUCGGUGACAGGUGGUGCGAUGGUUGUCGUCAGCUCGUGUCGUGAGAUGUUGGGUUAAGUCCCGCAACGAGCGCAACCCCUAUUGUUAGUUGCCAUCAUUCAGUUGGGCACUCUAGCGAGACUGCCGGUAAUAAACCGGAGGAAGGUGGGAUGACGUCAAAUCAUCAUGCCCCUUAUGACCUGGGCUACACACGUGCUACAAUGGUUGGUACAACGAGUUGCGAGUCGGUGACGGCGAGCUAAUCUCUUAAAGCCAAUCUCAGUUCGGAUUGUAGGCUGCAACUCGCCUACAUGAAGUCGGAAUCGCUAGUAAUCGCGGAUCAGCACGCCGCGGUGAAUACGUUCCCGGGCCUU
Molecule: ribosomal RNA, 367 nt
Filed under: uncultured Streptococcus sp.
Lineage: Bacteria; Bacillati; Bacillota; Bacilli; Lactobacillales; Streptococcaceae
Description: bacterial SSU rRNA
Rfam family: Bacterial small subunit ribosomal RNA
Source: RNAcentral